AACGAACGCUGGCGGCAGGCCUAACACAUGCAAGUCGAGCGAGGACUUCGGUUCUAGCGGCGGACGGGUGAGUAACGCGUGGGAAUGUGCCCUUCUCUACGGAAUAGCCCUGGGAAACUGGGAGUAAUACCGUAUACGCCCUUUUGGGGAAAGAUUUAUCGGAGAAGGAUCAGCCCGCGUUGGAUUAGGUAGUUGGUGGGGUAAUGGCCUACCAAGCCGACGAUCCAUAGCUGGUUUGAGAGGAUGAUCAGCCACACUGGGACUGAGACACGGCCCAGACUCCUACGGGAGGCAGCAGUGGGGAAUCUUAGACAAUGGGGGCAACGCUGAUCUAGCCAUGCCGCGUGAGUGAUGAAGGCCUUAGGGUUGUAAAGCUCUUUCAGCUGGGAAGAUAAUGACGGUACCAGAAGAAGAAGCCCCGGCUAACUCCGUG
RNAcentral lists this ribosomal RNA (433 nucleotides) under uncultured bacterium. RNAcentral describes it as "partial 16S ribosomal RNA". It matches the Rfam family "Bacterial small subunit ribosomal RNA", at positions 29 to 507 of the family's 1533-position model. The record is from RNAcentral.